AGUGAACGCUGGCGGUAGGCCUAACACAUGCAAGUCGAACGGCAGCACAGUAAGAGCUUGCUCUUACGGGUGGCGAGUGGCGGACGGGUGAGGAAUACAUCGGAAUCUACUUUUUCGUGGGGGAUAACGUAGGGAAACUUACGCUAAUACCGCAUACGACCUACGGGUGAAAGCAGGGGAUCUUCGGACCUUGCGCGAUUGAAUGAGCCGAUGUCGGAUUAGCUAGUUGGCGGGGUAAAGGCCCACCAAGGCGACGAUCCGUAGCUGGUCUGAGAGGAUGAUCGGCGAAGCAGGAGCUGAGACACGGUGCAGACGCCUACGGGAGGCAGCAGUCGGGAAUGUUGGGGAAUGGGCGAAAGCCUGACAGAGCAACGCCGCGGGAGUGAUGAAGGUCUUCGGAUCGUAAAACCCUGUUAUUAGGAAAGAACGAAUGUGUAAGCAACUAUGCACGUCUUGACGGUACCUAAGCAGAAAGGCACGGCUAACUACGUG
Molecule: ribosomal RNA, 492 nt
Filed under: uncultured bacterium
Lineage: Bacteria
Description: partial 16S ribosomal RNA
Rfam family: Bacterial small subunit ribosomal RNA
Source: RNAcentral